This 486-nucleotide ribosomal RNA is filed under the name uncultured bacterium. RNAcentral describes it as "partial 16S ribosomal RNA". It matches the Rfam family "Bacterial small subunit ribosomal RNA", at positions 30 to 507 of the family's 1533-position model. The record is from RNAcentral.
AUUGAACGCUGGCGGCAUGCCUUACACAUGCAAGUCGAACGGCAGCACGGGUGCUUGCCCCUGGUGGCGAGUGGCGAACGGGUGAGUAAUACAUCGGAACAUGUCCUGUAGUGGGGGAUAGCCCGGCGAAAGCCGGAUUAAUACCGCAUACGAUCUACGGAUGAAAGCGGGGGACCUUCGGGCCUCGCGCUAUAGGGUUGGCCGAUGGCUGAUUAGCUAGUUGGUGGGGUAAAGGCCUACCAAGGCGACGAUCAGUAGCUGGUCUGAGAGGACCACCAGCCACACUGGGACUGAGACACGGCCCAGACUCCUACGGGAGGCAGCAGUGGGGAAUUUUGGACAAUGGGCGAAAGCCUGAUCCAGCAAUGCCGCGUGUGUGAAGAAGGCCUUCGGGUUGUAAAGCACUGUUGUCCGGAAAGAAAUCCUUGGCCCUAAUACGGUCGGGGGAUGACGGUACCGGAAGAAUAAGCACCGGCUAACUACGUG